AGCUUGCUAGAUUGAUGGCGAGUGGCGAACGGGUGAGUAAUACAUCGGAACGUGCCCUGUAGUGGGGGAUAACUAGUCGAAAGAUUAGCUAAUACCGCAUACGACCUGAGGGUGAAAGUGGGGGACCGCAAGGCCUCAUGCUAUAGGAGCGGCCGAUGUCUGAUUAGCUAGUUGGUGGGGUAAAGGCCCACCAAGGCGACGAUCAGUAGCUGGUCUGAGAGGACGAUCAGCCACACUGGGACUGAGACACGGCCCAGACUCCUACGGGAGGCAGCAGUGGGGAAUUUUGGACAAUGGGGGCAACCCUGAUCCAGCAAUGCCGCGUGUGUGAAGAAGGCCUUCGGGUUGUAAAGCACUUUUGUCCGGAAAGAAAUCGCACUUACUAAUAUUAGGUGUGGAUGACGGUACCGGAAGAAUAAGGACCGGCUAACUACGUGCCAGCAGCCGCGGUAAUACGUAGGGUCCAAGCGUUAAUCGGAAUUACUGGGCGUAAAGCGUGCGCAGGCGGUUGUGCAAGACCGAUGUGAAAUCCCCGGGCUUAACCUGGGAAUUGCAUUGGUGACUGCACGGCUAGAGUGUGUCAGAGGGGGGUAGAAUUCCACGUGUAGCAGUGAAAUGCGUAGAGAUGUGGAGGAAUACCGAUGGCGAAGGCAGCCCCCUGGGAUAACACUGACGCUCAUGCACGAAAGCGUGGGGAGCAAACAGGAUUAGAUACCCUGGUAGUCCACGCCCUAAACGAUGUCAACUAGUUGUUGGGGAUUCAUUUCCUUAGUAACGUAGCUAACGCGUGAAGUUGACCGCCUGGGGAGUACGGUCGCAAGAUUAAAACUCAAAGGAAUUGACGGGGACCCGCACAAGCGGUGGAUGAUGUGGAUUAAUUCGAUGCAACGCGAAAAACCUUACCUACCCUUGACAUGCCACUAACGAAGCAGAGAUGCAUUAGGUGCUCGAAAGAGAAAGUGGACACAGGUGCUGCAUGGCUGUCGUCAGCUCGUGUCGUGAGAUGUUGGGUUAAGUCCCGCAACGAGCGCAACCCUUGUCUCUAGUUGCUACGAAAGGGCACUCUAGAGAGACUGCCGGUGACAAACCGGAGGAAGGUGGGGAUGACGUCAAGUCCUCAUGGCCCUUAUGGGUAGGGCUUCACACGUCAUACAAUGGUGCAUACAGAGGGUUGCCAAGCCGCGAGGUGGAGCUAAUCCCAGAAAAUGCAUCGUAGUCCGGAUCGUAGUCUGCAACUCGACUACGUGAAGCUGGAAUCGCUAGUAAUCGCGGAUCAGCAUGCCGCGGUGAAUAUGUUCCCGGGUCUUGUACACACCGCCCGUCACACCAUGGGAGUGGGUUUUGCCAGAAGUAGUUAGCCUAACCGUAAGGAGGGCGAUACC
RNAcentral lists this ribosomal RNA (1382 nucleotides) under uncultured bacterium. RNAcentral describes it as "16S ribosomal RNA". It matches the Rfam family "Bacterial small subunit ribosomal RNA". The record is from RNAcentral.